UACAGAGGUCUCAAGCGUUGUUCGGAUUCAUUGGGCGUAAAGGGUGCGUAGGCGGCGGGGUAAGUCUGAUGUGAAAUCCCGGGGCUCAACCCCGGAACUGCAUUGGAUACUGCCUUGCUUGAGUACUGGAGAGGAGACUGGAAUUUACGGUGUAGCAGUGAAAUGCGUAGAUAUCGUAAGGAAGACCAGUGGCGAAGGCGAGUCUCUGGACAGUUACUGACGCUGAGGCACGAAGGCCAGGGGAGCAAACGGG
Molecule: ribosomal RNA, 253 nt
Filed under: uncultured bacterium
Lineage: Bacteria
Description: partial 16S ribosomal RNA
Rfam family: Bacterial small subunit ribosomal RNA
Source: RNAcentral